RNAcentral lists this ribosomal RNA (404 nucleotides) under uncultured bacterium. Its description in RNAcentral is "bacterial SSU rRNA". It matches the Rfam family "Bacterial small subunit ribosomal RNA", at positions 355 to 776 of the family's 1533-position model. The record is from RNAcentral.
UGGGGAAUAUUGCACAAUGGGGGAAACCCUGAUGCAGCGAUGCCGCGUGGAGGAAGAAGGUUUUCGGAUUGUAAACUCCUGUCUUAAAGGACGAUAAUGACGGUACUUUAGGAGGAAGCUCCGGCUAACUACGUGCCAGCAGCCGCGGUAAUACGUAGGGAGCGAGCGUUGUCCGGAAUUACUGGGUGUAAAGGGAGCGUAGGCGGGAGUGCAAGUCAGGUGUGAAAACUAUGGGCUCAACCCAUAGACUGCACUUGAAACUGCAUUUCUUGAGUGAAGUAGAGGUAAGCGGAAUUCCUGGUGUAGCGGUGAAAUGCGUAGAUAUCAGGAGGAACACCGGUGGCGAAGGCGGCUUACUGGGCUUUUACUGACGCUGAGGCUCGAAAGCGUGGGGAGCAAACAGG